RNAcentral lists this ribosomal RNA (468 nucleotides) under uncultured bacterium. Its description in RNAcentral is "partial 16S ribosomal RNA". It matches the Rfam family "Bacterial small subunit ribosomal RNA", at positions 28 to 507 of the family's 1533-position model. The record is from RNAcentral.
GACGAACGCUGGCGGCGUGCUUAACACAUGCAAGUCGAACGGAAAGGCCCUGCUUUUGUGGGGUGCUCGAGUGGCGAACGGGUGAGUAACACGUGAGUAACCUGCCCUUGACUUUGGGAUAACUUCAGGAAACUGGGGCUAAUACCGGAUAGGAUCUCCUGCUGCAUGGUGGGGGUUGGAAAGUUUCGGCGGUUGGGGCUGGACUCGCGGCUUAUCAGCUUGUUGGUGGGGUAGUGGCUUACCAAGGCUUUGACGGGUAGCCGGCCUGAGCGGGUGACCGGCCACAUUGGGACUGAGAUACGGCCCAGACUCCUACGGGAGGCAGCAGUGGGGAAUAUUGCACAAUGGGCGGAAGCCUGAUGCAGAAACGCCGCGUGCGGGAUGACGGCCUUCGGGUUGUAAACCGCUUUCGCCUGUGACGAAGCGUGAGUGACGGUAAUGGGUAAAGAAGCACCGGCUAACUACGUG